AGUUAGUUGGUGGGGUAACGGCUCACCAAGACAACGAUACAUAGGGGGACUGAGAGGUUAACCCCCCACAUUGGUACUGAGACACGGACCAAACUCCUACGGGAGGCAGCAGUGAGGAAUAUUGGUCAAUGGACGCAAGUCUGAACCAGCCAUGCCGCGUGCAGGAAGACGGCUCUAUGAGUUGUAAACUGCUUUUGUACGAGGGUAAACGCAGAUACGUGUAUCUGUCUGAAAGUAUCGUACGAAUAAGGAUCGGCUAACUCCGUGCCAGCAGCCGCGGUAAUACGGAGGAUUCAAGCGUUAUCCGGAUUUAUUGGGUUUAAAGGGUGCGUAGGCGGUCGGAUAAGUUAGAGGUGAAAUCCCGGGGCUCAACUUCGGAAUUGCCUCUGAUACUGUUCGGCUAGAGAGUAGUUGCGGUAGGCGGAAUGUAUGGUGUAGCGGUGAAAUGCUUAGAGAUCAUACAGAACACCGAUUGCGAAGGCAGCUUACCAAGCUACUUCUGACGUUGAGGCACGAAAGCGUGGGGAGCAAACAGGAUUAGAUACCCUGGUAGUCCACGCAGUAAACGAUGAUAACUCGUUGUCGGCGAUACAGUGUCG
This 599-nucleotide ribosomal RNA is filed under the name uncultured bacterium. RNAcentral describes it as "bacterial SSU rRNA". It matches the Rfam family "Bacterial small subunit ribosomal RNA", at positions 243 to 839 of the family's 1533-position model. The record is from RNAcentral.